GGCGUAAAGCGCGCGCAGGCGGAUUGGUCAGUCUGUCUUAAAAGUUCGGGGCUUAACCCCGUGAUGGGAUGGAAACUGCCAAUCUAGAGUAUCGGAGAGGAAAGUGGAAUUCCUAGUGUAGCGGUGAAAUGCGUAGAUAUUAGGAAGAACACCAGUGGCGAAGGCGACUUUCUGGACGAAAACUGACGCUGAGGCGCGAAAGCCAGGGGAGCGAACGGGAUUAGAUACCCCGGUAGUCCUGGCCGUAAACGAUGGGUACUAGGUGUAGGAGGUAUCGACCCCUUCUGUGCCGGAGUUAACGCAAUAAGUACCCCGCCUGGGGAGUACGACCGCAAGGUUGAAACUCAAAGGAAUUGACGGGGGCCCGCACAAGCGGUGGAGUAUGUGGUUUAAUUCGACGCAACGCGAAGAACCUUACCAGGUCUUGACAUUGAUGGACAGAACUAGAGAUAGUUCCUCUUCUUCGGAAGCCAGAAAACAGGUGGUGCACGGUUGUCGUCAGCUCGUGUCGUGA
This 514-nucleotide ribosomal RNA is filed under the name uncultured bacterium. RNAcentral describes it as "bacterial SSU rRNA". It matches the Rfam family "Bacterial small subunit ribosomal RNA", at positions 557 to 1070 of the family's 1533-position model. The record is from RNAcentral.